UAGUCCACGCUGUAAACGAUGGUUACUAGCUGUUUGGACUUCGGUCUGAGUGGCUAAGCGAAAGUGAUAAGUAACCCACCUGGGGAGUACGUUCGCAAGAAUGAAACUCAAAGGAAUUGACGGGGGCCCGCACAAGCGGUGGAGCAUGUGGUUUAAUUCGAUGAUACGCGAGGAACCUUACCAGGGCUUAAAUGUAGAAUGACAGUUGUGGAAACACAUCUUUCUUCGGACAUUCUACAAGGUGCUGUAUGGUUGUCGUCAGCUCGUGCCGUGAGGUGUCAGGUUAAGUCCUAUAACGAGCGCAACCCCUACCGUUAGUUGCCAGCAUGUAAUGAUGGGGACUCUAACGGGACUGCCGGUGCAAACCGUGAGGAAGGUGGGGACGACGUCAAAUCAUCACGGCCCUUACGUCCUGGGCCACACACGUGCUACAAUGGCCGGUACAGAGGGAAGCCACCACGUAAGUGGGCGCGGAUCUAUAAAACCGGUCACAGUUCGGAUCGGGGUCUGCAACUCGA
RNAcentral lists this ribosomal RNA (518 nucleotides) under uncultured bacterium. RNAcentral describes it as "bacterial SSU rRNA". It matches the Rfam family "Bacterial small subunit ribosomal RNA", at positions 791 to 1315 of the family's 1533-position model. The record is from RNAcentral.